GACGAACCCUGGCGGCGUGCCUAAUACAUGCAAGUCGAACGCUUUUUCUUUCACCGGAGCUUGCUCCACCGAAAGAAAAAGAGUGGCGAACGGGUGAGUAACACGUGGGUAACCUGCCCAUCAGAAGGGGAUAACACUUGGAAACAGGUGCUAAUACCGUAUAACACUAUUUUCCGCAUGGAAGAAAGUUGAAAGGCGCUUUUGCGUCACUGAUGGAUGGACCCGCGGUGCAUUAGCUAGUUGGUGAGGUAACGGCUCACCAAGGCAACGAUGCAUAGCCGACCUGGGAGGGUGAUCGGCCACAGUGGGACUGAGACACGGCCCAGACUCCGACGGGAGGCAGCAGUAGGGAAUCUUCGGCAAUGGACGAAAGUCUGACCGAGCAACGCCGCGUGAGUGAAGAAGGUUUUCGGAUCGUAAAACUCUGUUGUUAGAGAAGAACAAGGAUGAGAGUAAAACGUUCAUCCCUUGACGGUAUCUAACCAGAAAGCCACGGCUAACUACGUGCCAGCCGCCGCCGUAA
Molecule: ribosomal RNA, 523 nt
Filed under: uncultured bacterium
Lineage: Bacteria
Description: partial 16S ribosomal RNA
Rfam family: Bacterial small subunit ribosomal RNA
Source: RNAcentral